AAUUAGGAGAUAACUGUAUUGUAUUUUAAGCUCCGACGGCAUCAAUUGGGGAUUUGAUGGUCGCAAAUUAAGUUUACUGGCGACGCGUUAGCGGAGACAGUAAACGGGUAUUUGCGACCAUCAAAUCCCAAAUUGAUGCCGUCGGAGCUUAAAAUACAAUAUUGUUAUCUCCAUUCUAAUGAAACUGACAGAAAACAACGUUAAAACAUGUAUUUAAAAUCUGUCAUAUGCCGUCUGCGCUUGCGCGUACGUCCCAUAGCAUCAAUUGUCAAUUGAUGCCAUGUAAGAAAGUGACGUUAUCCAAUCAAAAUGAACGUUACAAACGUUGUUGCAUUAGAAUGAACAUUGAAUAGAAAA
RNAcentral lists this long non-coding RNA (357 nucleotides) under Mytilus galloprovincialis (Mediterranean mussel). Lineage: Eukaryota; Metazoa; Mollusca; Bivalvia; Mytilida; Mytilidae. The record is from RNAcentral.